Molecule: unclassified non-coding RNA, 200 nt
Filed under: soil metagenome
Description: partial contains internal transcribed spacer 2 and large subunit ribosomal RNA
Source: RNAcentral
CGAGCGUCAUUAUAACCCUCAAGCUCUGCUUGGUAUUGGGCACCACCGGCUCUGGUGUGCCUCAAAAUCAGUGGUCGGCGCCACCUGGCUUCAAGCGUAGUAAAUAUCCUCGCUCUGGAGGCUCUGGUGUGUGCCUGUCAGAAUCAAUAAUUAUCUAUAAGGUUGACCUCGGAUCAGGUAGGGAUACCCGCUGAACUUAA